RNAcentral lists this long non-coding RNA (738 nucleotides) under Serinus canaria (Common canary). RNAcentral describes it as "lncRNA (ENSSCAG00000001444.1)". Lineage: Eukaryota; Metazoa; Chordata; Aves; Passeriformes; Fringillidae. The record is from RNAcentral.
GUGUUUCCAUGACAUGAAUCUUGCCUCAGGUUCCUAACGUGGCAUGACUUUCACAUCCUGGGCUCAGGUGAUUUUCAUCUGAGACACAAAAAUGAAUAUGCAGAGUUUUCUUUGGGAUAUUUAGAUAGAAGGUACCAAGGGCAUUACUCCAAGGGAAAGGUUGGGAAAUACAUUCAACCAAACUAAUGUUUCAGGUACUUGGUUUAAAUCUACACUUACAGCUGCUUCCUUACUAAAAACUAAUGCUGUAGGGCUAUUUUUUACUAUACUGUACCUUACCUAAGGAUAAUGCCUACCUUUUUAUCUAUUCUCUCUUCUUAACUCUUGUCACUGAAGUGCCCCCAUUGCCACUGGCACCAUGCCAGGGUAGUGGCUGCUGGUAGCAGUGCAGGAGCUGGAACAAACAGCUGUGCCAUCAAUCAUCACCCUGAGGUAUUUUAAGGGGGUUUAAUUCUUUUCUCUUACAGGCAGCAUUUCUGUGGUGGCACACUUGGGCACAAACAAGACCUGGACCUCUUGUUAUAAUGUGGUUCCAACAUGGUUCAUCUCAUUACAGACACCGUGGGAGACUUUGAAUCAUUGCAAGAGCCCAAGUAGUGUAAAGUCCUGCUGGAAGAGCACUUGUCACAUUUUCCUUCCUCUUUUGACUGGUGUGUUGACCCUGCUUGGAUGCCAAGUGCCCACCAAAGCUGCUCCAUCACUCCACUCUUCAGCUGGGCAGAGGAGAGGUAAACAAGG